CGCCUAGUAGCCCAAUGGCAGAGGCAAACGACUUAAAAUCGUUAUAGUGUCAGUUCGAGUCUGACCUAGGCGACAA
Molecule: transfer RNA, 76 nt
Filed under: Caulobacteraceae bacterium
Lineage: Bacteria; Pseudomonadati; Pseudomonadota; Alphaproteobacteria; Caulobacterales; Caulobacteraceae
Description: tRNA-Leu
Rfam family: tRNA
About the family: Transfer RNA (tRNA) molecules are approximately 80 nucleotides in length.
Source: RNAcentral